UGCGUCGACGGUAACGCGGGGCAACCUGGCGACGAGUGGCGAACGGGUGAGUAAUGCAUCGGAACGUGCCCAGUAGUGGGGGAUAGCCCGGCGAAAGCCGGAUUAAUACCGCAUACGACCUACGGGUGAAAGCGGGGGACCGCAAGGCCUCGCGCUAUUGGAGCGGCCGAUGUCAGAUUAGGUUGUUGGUGGGGUAAAGGCCUACCAAGCCGACGAUCUGUAGCUGGUCUGAGAGGACGACCAGCCACACAGGGACUGAGACACGGCCCAGACUCCUACGGGAGGCAGCAGUGGGGAAUUUUGGACAAUGGGCGCAAGCCUGAUCCAGCCAUGCCGCGUGCGGGAAGAAGGCCUUCGGGUUGUAAACCGCUUUUGUCAGGGAAGAAACGCUCCGGGCUAAUACCCCGGGGUAAUGACGGUACCUGAAGAAUAAGCACCGGCUAACUACGUGCCAGCAGCCGCGGUAAUACGUAGGGUGCAAGCGUUAAUCGGAAUUACUGGGCGUAAAGCGUGCGCAGGCGGUCUUGCAAGACAGAUGUGAAAUCCCCGGGCUUAACCUGGGAACUGCAUUUGUGACUGCAAGGCUGGAGUGCGGCAGAGGGGGAUGGAAUUCCGCGUGUAGCAGUGAAAUGCGUAGAUAUGCGGAGGAACACCGAUGGCGAAGGCAAUCCCCUGGGCCUGCACUGACGCUCAUGCACGAAAGCGUGGGGAGCAAACAGGAUAGAUACCCUGGUAGUCCACGCCCUAAACGAUGUCAACUGGUUGUUGACGGCUUGCUGUUCAGUAACGAAGCUAACGCGUGAAGUUGACCGCCUGGGGAGUACGGCCGCAGGUUGAAACUCAAAG
This 846-nucleotide ribosomal RNA is filed under the name uncultured Rubrivivax sp. RNAcentral describes it as "bacterial SSU rRNA". It matches the Rfam family "Bacterial small subunit ribosomal RNA", at positions 56 to 906 of the family's 1533-position model. Lineage: Bacteria; Pseudomonadati; Pseudomonadota; Betaproteobacteria; Burkholderiales; Sphaerotilaceae. The record is from RNAcentral.